Capra hircus (goat) is the source of this 102-nucleotide unclassified non-coding RNA. NCBI's taxonomy places the organism in Eukaryota, Metazoa, Chordata, Mammalia, Artiodactyla, Bovidae. The record is from Ensembl.
GGGGUUGGGAUAUAGAUAUUUGAAACAAACAUGUAUAAAUAAAUGAAUGGUUGAUAACUUAGUAAUUGACCUGGAGACUGGUAGCUUGUUAAAGAAACUCCA